AUCCAACUGACGAGUCCUAAAUAAGACAGAAUGCGCGUCCUGGAU
This is a non-coding RNA of Schistosoma haematobium, 45 nucleotides long. The record is from Rfam. NCBI's taxonomy places the organism in Eukaryota, Metazoa, Platyhelminthes, Trematoda, Strigeidida, Schistosomatidae.